RNAcentral lists this ribosomal RNA (207 nucleotides) under uncultured bacterium. RNAcentral describes it as "partial 16S ribosomal RNA". It matches the Rfam family "Bacterial small subunit ribosomal RNA", at positions 568 to 774 of the family's 1533-position model. The record is from RNAcentral.
CGCGUAGGCGGCCUUAUAAGUCAGAUGUGAAAGUCCACGGCUCAACCGUGGAAGUGCAUUUGAAACUGUGGGGCUUGAGUAUCGGAGGGGAGUGUGGAAUUCCCGGUGUAGAGGUGAAACUCGUAGAGAUCGGGAGGAACACCGGUGGCGAAGGCGACACUCUGGACGAAUACUGACGCUGAGGCGCGAAAGCGUGGGGAGCAAACA